This is a long non-coding RNA of Lutra lutra (Eurasian river otter), 127 nucleotides long. RefSeq lists it as uncharacterized. The record is from RefSeq and is a predicted model, not a curated record. The transcript has 3 exons. NCBI's taxonomy places the organism in Eukaryota, Metazoa, Chordata, Mammalia, Carnivora, Mustelidae.
UACCUCUGGAGGCUUUUCCCAGAAAUUCUGAUGUUGACUCAGUUCUCGUCGUUUGAUCCCGGAUGAGCCCCCAAAUGUUGGGUCCGUUAUCAAAGGAACGAGACUGAUACAAAGCAAAAGUCAAGCA